AAUACAUGCAAGUCGAACGAGUUCUGAUUAUUGAAAGGUGCUUGCAUCUUGAUUUAAUUUUGAACGAGUGGCGGACGGGUGAGUAACACGUGGGUAACCUGCCCUUAAGUGGGGGAUAACAUUUGGAAACAGAUGCUAAUACCGCAUAAAUCCAAGAACCGCAUGGUUCUUGGCUGAAAGAUGGCGUAAGCUAUCGCUUUUGGAUGGACCCGCGGCGUAUUAGCUAGUUGGUGAGGUAACGGCUCACCAAGGCAAUGAUACGUAGCCGAACUGAGAGGUUGAUCGGCCACAUUGGGACUGAGACACGGCCCAAACUCCUACGGGAGGCAGCAGUAGGGAAUCUUCCACAAUGGACGCAAGUCUGAUGGAGCAACGCCGCGUGAGUGAAGAAGGCUUUCGGGUCGUAAAACUCUGUUGUUGGAGAAGAAUGGUCGGCAGAGUAACUGUUGUCGGCGUGACGGUAUCCAACCAGAAAGCCACGGCUAACUACGUGCCAGCAGCCGCGGUAAUACGUAGGUGGCAAGCGUUAUCCGGAUUUAUUGGGCGUAAAGCGAGCGCAGGCGGUUUUUUAAGUCUGAUGUGAAAGCCCUCGGCUUAACCGAGGAAGUGCAUCGGAAACUGGGAAACUUGAGUGCAGAAGAGGACAGUGGAACUCCAUGUGUAGCGGUGAAAUGCGUAGAUAUAUGGAAGAACACCAGUGGCGAAGGCGGCUGUCUGGUCUGUAACUGACGCUGAGGCUCGAAAGCAUGGGUAGCGAACAGGAUUAGAUACCCUGGUAGUCCAUGCCGUAAACGAUGAAUGCUAGGUGUUGGAGGGUUUCCGCCCUUCAGUGCCGCAGCUAACGCAUUAAGCAUUCCGCCUGGGGAGUACGACCGCAAGGUUGAAACUCAAAGGAAUUGACGGGGGCCCGCACAAGCGGUGGAGCAUGUGGUUUAAUUCGAAGCAACGCGAAGAACCUUACCAGGUCUUGACAUCUUUUGAUCACCUGAGAGAUCAGGUUUCCCCUUCGGGGGCAAAAUGACAGGUGGUGCAUGGUUGUCGUCAGCUCGUGUCGUGAGAUGUUGGGUUAAGUCCCGCAACGAGCGCAACCCUUAUGACUAGUUGCCAGCAUUUAGUUGGGCACUCUAGUAAGACUGCCGGUGACAAACCGGAGGAAGGUGGGGAUGACGUCAAAUCAUCAUGCCCCUUAUGACCUGGGCUACACACGUGCUACAAUGGAUGGUACAACGAGUUGCGAGACCGCGAGGUCAAGCUAAUCUCUUAAAGCCAUUCUCAGUUCGGACUGUAGGCUGCAACUCGCCUACACGAAGUCGGAAUCGCUAGUAAUCGCGGAUCAGCACGCCGCGGUGAAUACGUUCCCGGGCCUUGUACACACCGCCCGUCACACCAUGAGAGUUUGUAACACCCGAAGCCGGUGGCGUAACCCUUUUAGGGAGCGAGCCGUCUAAGG
RNAcentral lists this ribosomal RNA (1450 nucleotides) under Lacticaseibacillus rhamnosus. RNAcentral's name for it is "bacterial SSU rRNA". It matches the Rfam family "Bacterial small subunit ribosomal RNA". The record is from RNAcentral. Lineage: Bacteria; Bacillati; Bacillota; Bacilli; Lactobacillales; Lactobacillaceae.